GAUGAACGCUAGCGGCAGGCCUAACACAUGCAAGUCGAGGGGCAGCGCGGGGCGGCAACGUCCUGGCGGCGACCGGCGGAAGGGUGCGUAACGCGUGAGCGACAUGCCCGUUGCCCGGGGACAACCGGUGGAAACGCCGACUAAUCCCCGAUGGGACGGAGGCCCUCAUGGGUCUCUGUUGAAAGUUACGGCGGCGACGGAUUGGCUCGCGUCCGAUUAGCUUGUUGGCGGGGUAACGGCCCACCAAGGCUACGAUCGGUAGGGGUUCUGAGAGGAAGGUCCCCCACAAUGGAACUGAGACACGGUCCAUACUCCUACGGGAGGCAGCAGUGAGGAAUAUUGGUCAAUGGGCGGAAGCCUGAACCAGCCAUGCCGCGUGCGGGAAGGAGGCCCUAUGGGCUGUGAACCGCUUUUGCCUGGGGGCAAUAAGGGCGUCGUGCACGUCCGAUGAGAGUACCAGGCGAAUAAGCAUCGGCUAACUCCGUGCCAGCAGCCGCGGUAAUACGGGGGAUGCGAGCGUUAUCCGGAUUCAUUGGGUUUAAAGGGUGCGUAGGCUGUGCGUCAAGUCAGGGGUGAAAUUCCGGGGCUCAACUCCGGGGCUGCCCUUGAUACUGUCGCGCUGGAGUGCGGAUGCCGCCGGAGGAAUGAGUGGUGUAGCGGUGAAAUGCUUAGAUAUCACUCAGAACACCGAUUGCGAAGGCAUCUGGCGAAUCCGUAACUGACGCUGAGGCACGAAAGCGUGGGGAUAGAACAGGAUUAGAUACCCUGGUAUUCCACGCCGUAAACGAUGAUGGCUAACCGCCGGCGACACACUGUCGGUGGCCAAGCGAAAGCGAUAAGCCAUCCACCUGGGGAGUACGUCGGCAACGAUGCAACUCAAAUGAAUUGACGG
RNAcentral lists this ribosomal RNA (892 nucleotides) under uncultured Bacteroidota bacterium. RNAcentral's name for it is "bacterial SSU rRNA". It matches the Rfam family "Bacterial small subunit ribosomal RNA", at positions 28 to 916 of the family's 1533-position model. Lineage: Bacteria; Pseudomonadati; Bacteroidota. The record is from RNAcentral.